GACGAACGCUGGCGGCGUGCUUAACACAUGCAAGUCGAACGGAAAGGCCCUGCUUUUGUGGGGUGCUCGAGUGGCGAACGGGUGAGUAACACGUGAGUAACCUGCCCUUGACUUUGGGAUAACUUCAGGAAACUGGGGCUAAUACCGGAUAGGAGCUCCUGCUGCAUGGUGGGGGUUGGAAAGUUUCGGCGGUUGGGGAUGGACUCGCGGCUUAUCAGCUUGUUGGUGGGGUAGUGGCUUACCAAGGCUUUGACGGGUAGCCGGCCUGAGAGGGUGACCGGCCACAUUGGGACUGAGAUACGGCCCAGACGCCUACGGGAGGCAUCAGUGGGGAAUAUUGCACAAUGGGCGGAAGCCUGAUGCAGCAACGCCGCGUGCGGGAUGACGGCCUUCGGGUUGUAAACCGCUUUCGCCUGUGACGAAGCGUGAGUGACGGUAAUGGGUAAAGAAGCACCGGCUAACUACGUG
Molecule: ribosomal RNA, 468 nt
Filed under: uncultured bacterium
Lineage: Bacteria
Description: partial 16S ribosomal RNA
Rfam family: Bacterial small subunit ribosomal RNA
Source: RNAcentral